CCUACGGGUGGCAGCAGUGGGGGAUAUUGCACAAUGGGGGGAACCCUGAUGCAGCGACGCCGCGUGGGUGAAGAAGCGCCUCGGCGCGUAAAGCCCUGUCAGCAGGGAAGAAAAUGACGGUACCUGAAGAAGAAGCCCCGGCUAACUACGUGCCAGCAGCCGCGGUAAUACGUAGGGGGCAAGCGUUAUCCGGAUUUACUGGGUGUAAAGGGGGCGCAGACGGCGAUGCAAGCCAGGAGUGAAAGCCCGGGGCCCAACCCCGGGACUGCUCUUGGAACUGCGUGGCUGGAGUGCAGGAGGGGCAGGCGGAAUUCCUGGUGUAGCGGUGAAAUGCGUAGAUAUCUGGAGGAACAUCAGUGGCGAAGGCGACUAUCUGGCACAUAACUGACGCUGAGGAGCGAAAGCGUGGGUAGCAAACAGGAUUAGAUACCCGGGUAGUC
Molecule: ribosomal RNA, 440 nt
Filed under: uncultured bacterium
Lineage: Bacteria
Description: partial 16S ribosomal RNA
Rfam family: Bacterial small subunit ribosomal RNA
Source: RNAcentral